This 209-nucleotide ribosomal RNA is filed under the name Leptocylindrus danicus. RNAcentral describes it as "partial Bacterial large subunit ribosomal RNA". It matches the Rfam family "Bacterial large subunit ribosomal RNA", at positions 2653 to 2873 of the family's 2925-position model. The record is from RNAcentral. Lineage: Eukaryota; Bacillariophyta; Leptocylindrophyceae; Leptocylindrales; Leptocylindraceae.
GUUGGAGACUUGAGAGGAGCUGCCCCUAGUACGAGAGGACCGGGGUGGACGUUCCACUGGUGGACCAGUUGUCGUGCCAACGGCAGUGCUGGGUAGCUAUGAACGGACAGGAUAAACGCUGAAGGCAUCUAAGCGUGAAGCCCCCCUCAAAACAAGGUCUCCCUUGAGAGCCGUGGAAGACCACCACGUCGAUAGGCCGGAGAUGUAAG